RNAcentral lists this ribosomal RNA (427 nucleotides) under uncultured bacterium. RNAcentral describes it as "bacterial SSU rRNA". It matches the Rfam family "Bacterial small subunit ribosomal RNA", at positions 355 to 774 of the family's 1533-position model. The record is from RNAcentral.
CUAAGAAUAUUCCGCAAUGGACGGAAGUCUGACGGAGCGACGCCGCGUGGAUGACGAAGGCCGAAAGGUUGUAUAGUUCUUUUGCUGGGGAAGAAUAACCGCAGGAGGGAAUGCCUGUGGGAUGACAAGAACCGGCGAAUAAGCCCCGGCCAACUACGUGCCAGCAGCCGCGGUAACACGUAGGGGGCGAGCGUUGUUCGGAAUUACUGGGCGUAAAGGGCAUGUAGGCGGCUUGGAAAGCCUGGCGUGAAAGUCUGCAGCUUAACUACAGGGGUGCGCUGGGAACUGCUGAGCUUGAGUGACGGAGAGGGAGCUGGAAUUCCUGGUGUAGGGGUGAAAUCUGUAGAUAUCAGGAAGAACACCGAUGGCGAAGGCAAGCUCCUGGCCGAUGACUGACGCUGAGGUGCGAAAGUGUGGGGAUCAAACA